GGUGAUCUUGGUCAAAUUAUCUGGGCAAUUGGGCAAAUCACUGCCCCGAUCACUUGUGACUAUGGUAUAUUCAGCCGAUUUGCCCGGCGAUUUAGGCAAGCAGUGGGCAAAUCACUGGGCAAAUCACUACAUCUGGGCUGCCUCCCAGUAGCGCCCUGUUUUCUGUCUUGGGCUGGACUUCAGUGUCUUGCUCAGCAGUCUUGGGAAGGGGGAUCCAAGGGAACCUCCUCCACAACAUGGACAAUAAAACCUUCAUAGAAUCUCUUCAAACGAUACCCAUUAAUCUUGAAAACCUUGCUUGUUUGUGGACUCCGUAUGUCAAUAGCUUCAUGUGCUGUAUCCUGUCUCUGAUUCUGGUGAGAUGAGCCUCCACCGAAUGGUCUUGAGGUGCCUUUUAUGUCCUCCAAGGUCCACCCAAUUGCUUUUUUGUGCUUC
This 435-nucleotide long non-coding RNA is filed under the name Manihot esculenta (cassava). RNAcentral describes it as "long non-coding RNA (MESC_LNC003097)". Lineage: Eukaryota; Viridiplantae; Streptophyta; Magnoliopsida; Malpighiales; Euphorbiaceae. The record is from RNAcentral.